This 28-nucleotide small RNA is filed under the name Bombyx mori (domestic silkworm). RNAcentral's name for it is "ovarian small RNA-3948". Lineage: Eukaryota; Metazoa; Arthropoda; Insecta; Lepidoptera; Bombycidae. The record is from RNAcentral.
UUACGUUGUAGAUGUAUAUGGGCUCCAG